Molecule: ribosomal RNA, 253 nt
Filed under: uncultured bacterium
Lineage: Bacteria
Description: partial 16S ribosomal RNA
Rfam family: Bacterial small subunit ribosomal RNA
Source: RNAcentral
UACGUAGGGUGCAAGCGUUGUCCGGAAUUAUUGGGCGUAAAGAGCUCGUAGGCGGUCUGUCGCGUCUGCUGUGAAAACUCAGGGCUUAACCCUGAGCUUGCAGUGGGUACGGGCAGACUAGAGUGCGGUAGGGGAGAAUGGAAUUCCUGGUGUAGCGGUGAAAUGCGCAGAAAUCAGGAGGAACACCGGUGGCGAAGGCGGGUCUCUGGGCCGUAACUGACGCUGAGGAGCGAAAGCAUGGGGAGCGAACAGG